UCGAGGAUCUUCGGCAAUGGGCGCAAGCCUGACCGAGCGACGCCGCGUGGAGGACGAAGGCCUUCGGGUUGUAAACUCCUGUCGAGGGGGAGCAAGGCCGCGCGAAGAGCGUGGCCCGAGCGAUCCCUGGAGGAAGCACGGGCUAAGUUCGUGCCAGCAGCCGCGGUAAGACGAACCGUGCGAACGUUAUUCGGAAUCACUGGGCUUAAAGCGCGUGUAGGCGGGCCGGCACGUCGGUCGCUGAAAGCCCCCGGCUCAACCGGGGAAUUGGCGCCGAUACGACCGGCCUGGAGGGGGGUAGGGGGAGCCGGAACUCACGGUGGAGCGGUGAAAUGCGUUGAGAUCGUGAGGAACGCCCGUGGCGAAAGCGGGCUCCUGGACCCCGCCUGACGCUGAGACGCGAAAGCUAGGGGAGCAAACGGG
This 423-nucleotide ribosomal RNA is filed under the name uncultured Planctomycetaceae bacterium. RNAcentral's name for it is "bacterial SSU rRNA". It matches the Rfam family "Bacterial small subunit ribosomal RNA", at positions 355 to 776 of the family's 1533-position model. Lineage: Bacteria; Pseudomonadati; Planctomycetota; Planctomycetia; Planctomycetales; Planctomycetaceae. The record is from RNAcentral.